AUGAGAACGGAGCUUACCAGAUUCACGACGAGGUUGCGGUGUGGAUGGUGUGCAAGAAUCUCCCGCGGCGGCCGGAGUUGGUGCACCAAGGAUCUUCAACGGAGUAGCUUGUUUGUCCUUUCCUCUUUUCGUAUUUACCGAUCUAUUUAUGAGUUUGUGAUAUGGUAUGUGGUGCUUGGAAACUUGCUUUAUGUUUGA
Molecule: non-coding RNA, 198 nt
Organism: Vicia faba (fava bean)
Lineage: Eukaryota; Viridiplantae; Streptophyta; Magnoliopsida; Fabales; Fabaceae
Source: the annotation of a GenBank genome assembly